AUAAUACGGUGAUACUCCGUAUGGCUGAUUAUAUCAGAUAUCGUAUAUAUGAUAUUACCUAACUACUAGGAUAACGGUGGUAAUUCUAGAGCUAAUACAUGCUAAUAAUCGCAACUUCGGAAGGGAUGUGUAUAUUAGAUAAUAAACCAAUGCCCUUCGCGGCUCUAUGGUGAAUCAUGAUAACUAUACCGAUCGCAUAGCCUUGCGGUUCAUUCAUAUUUCUGCCCUAUAACUAUCGAUGGUAAGGUAUUGGCUUACCAUGGUAUCAACGGGUAACGGGGAAUUAGCGUUCGAUUCGGGAGAGGGAGCCUGAGAAACCGCUACCACAUCCAAGGAAGGCAGCAGGCGCGCAUAUUACCCAAUCCCGACACGCGGAGGUAGUGACAAUAUAUACUGAUACAGGGCUCUAUUGGGUCUUGUAAUUCGAAUGAGUACAAUUUAUACCUCUUAACGAGGAACAAUUGCAGGGCAAGUCUGGUGCCAGCAUCCGCGGUUAUACCAGGUCC
Molecule: ribosomal RNA, 506 nt
Filed under: Pyrenophora nobleae
Lineage: Eukaryota; Fungi; Ascomycota; Dothideomycetes; Pleosporales; Pleosporaceae
Description: SSU rRNA
Rfam family: Eukaryotic small subunit ribosomal RNA
Source: RNAcentral